CCUACGGGUGGCAGCAGUGAGGAAUAUUGGUCAAUGGGCGCAAGCCUGAACCAGCCAAGUCGCGUGAGGGAUGACGGUCCUAUGGAUUGUAAACCUCUUUUGUCGGGGAGCAAGGCCCGCCACGUGUGGCGGGAAGGAGAGUACCCGAAGAAAAAGCAUCGGCUAACUCCGUGCCAGCAGCCGCGGUAAUACGGAGGAUGCGAGCGUUAUCCGGAUUUAUUGGGUUUAAAGGGUGCGUAGGCGGUCCGUUAAGUCAGCGGUAAAAUUGCGGGGCUCAACCCCGUCGAGCCGUUGAAACUGGCAGACUUGAGUUGGCGAGAAGUACGCGGAAUGCGCGGUGUAGCGGUGAAAUGCAUAGAUAUCGCGCAGAACUCCGAUUGCGAAGGCAGCGUACCGGCGCCAGACUGACGCUGAGGCACGAAAGCGUGGGGAUCGAACAGGAUUAGAUACCCUAGUAGUC
Molecule: ribosomal RNA, 460 nt
Filed under: uncultured bacterium
Lineage: Bacteria
Description: partial 16S ribosomal RNA
Rfam family: Bacterial small subunit ribosomal RNA
Source: RNAcentral